UGACUGUUGAGUAUCUAUAUCUACAUUGCAUUGAAGGGUUGUGUUCCAGCUAAGUAAGCCAUGGACAAAAGAGUGCUGGUGCUUCUUGUGUGUAUGCAGGCCUUCCUACUCCUCGCUAAGGUGAAUUCAUCUGAUGCUGCCAUUGGGUUGGUGGACAAUCAGCAACGUGAUCAGGGAACAGCUGCCACAGCCAAAACAGAUAAAGUGUCCAAUGACCAGUGGUUUCUGAGACCUGGCAAGGAGUCAACUUUAUGGGGUCCAUUCUAAACAUCAAAGUGAGAAAGGACUUGAAGAGAUGGAAGAAAAAUGUCACCUGCUUUUCCCCUCUGCUGUCUGAAGCUUUCAAUGAUGGUGCUUCCAUGUGAUGGAAAAUUGGAAGUUUUCAAAUAUGUUAUCCUAUAAAAUGUAAUUACAUGUGUGAUGAUGCAGUGCUGAUUAAACA
Molecule: long non-coding RNA, 442 nt
Organism: Corythoichthys intestinalis (scribbled pipefish)
Lineage: Eukaryota; Metazoa; Chordata; Actinopteri; Syngnathiformes; Syngnathidae
Exons: 3
Source: RefSeq, a predicted model, not a curated record